This 359-nucleotide ribosomal RNA is filed under the name uncultured bacterium. Its description in RNAcentral is "bacterial SSU rRNA". It matches the Rfam family "Bacterial small subunit ribosomal RNA", at positions 50 to 436 of the family's 1533-position model. The record is from RNAcentral.
AACACAUGCAAGUCGAACGAUCCCUUCGGGGAUAGUGGCGCACGGGUGCGUAACGCGUGGGAACCUGCCCUUAGGUUCGGAAUAACAGUUAGAAAUGACUGCUAAUACCGGAUAAUGUCUUCGGACCAAAGAUUUAUCGCCUUAGGAUGGGCCCGCGUUGGAUUAGCUAGUUGGUGGGGUAAAGGCUCACCAAGGCGACGAUCCAUAGCUGGUCUGAGAGGAUGAUCAGCCACACUGGGACUGAGACACGGCCCAGACUCCUACGGGAGGCAGCAGUGGGGAAUAUUGGACAAUGGGCGAAAGCCCUGAUCCAGCAAUGCCGCGUGAGUGAUGAACGCCUUCCGGUUGUAAACCUCUUU